This 490-nucleotide ribosomal RNA is filed under the name uncultured bacterium. RNAcentral's name for it is "partial 16S ribosomal RNA". It matches the Rfam family "Bacterial small subunit ribosomal RNA", at positions 29 to 505 of the family's 1533-position model. The record is from RNAcentral.
AGUGAACGCUGGCGGUAGGCCUAACACAUGCAAGUCGAACGGCAGCACAGUAAGAGCUUGCUCUUACGGGUGGCGAGUGGCGGACGGGUGAGGAAUUCAUCGGAAUCUGCUUUUUCGUGGGGGAUAACGUAGGGAAACUUACGCUAAUACCGCAUACGACCUACGGGUGAAAGCAGGGGAUCUUCGGACCUUGCGCGAUUGAAUGAGCCGAUGUCGGAUUAGCUAGUUGGCGGGGUAAAGGCCCACCAAGGCGACGAUCCGUAGCUGGUCUGAGAGGAUGAUCAGCCACACUGGAACUGAGACACGGUCCAGACUCCUACGGGAGGCAGCAGUGGGGAAUAUUGGACAAUGGGCGCAAGCCUGAUCCAGCCAUACCGCGUGGGUGAAGAAGGCCUUCGGGUUGUAAAGCCCUUUUGUUGGGAAAGAAAAGCAGCAGGUUAAUACCCCGCUGUUCUGACGGUACCCAAAGAAUAAGCACCGGCUAACUUCG